RNAcentral lists this ribosomal RNA (258 nucleotides) under Salmonella enterica subsp. enterica serovar Give. RNAcentral's name for it is "partial 23S ribosomal RNA". It matches the Rfam family "Bacterial large subunit ribosomal RNA", at positions 1678 to 1918 of the family's 2925-position model. Lineage: Bacteria; Pseudomonadati; Pseudomonadota; Gammaproteobacteria; Enterobacterales; Enterobacteriaceae. The record is from RNAcentral.
AUACCAAGGCGCUUGAGAGAACUCGGGUGAAGGAACUAGGCAAAAUGGUGCCGUAACUUCGGGAGAAGGCACGCUGACACGUAGGUGAAGUGAUUUACUCAUGGAGCUGAAGUCAGUCGAAGAUACCAGCUGGCUGCAACUGUUUAUUAAAAACACAGCACUGUGCAAACACGAAAGUGGACGUAUACGGUGUGACGCCUGCCCGGUGCCGGAAGGUUAAUUGAUGGGGUCAGCGCAAGCGAAGCUCCUGAUCGAAGC